Molecule: long non-coding RNA, 1605 nt
Filed under: Bactrocera latifrons
Lineage: Eukaryota; Metazoa; Arthropoda; Insecta; Diptera; Tephritidae
Description: uncharacterized LOC108976559
Source: RNAcentral
GUCAGCUGUUUGAGAACGUCAUCCGAUAAGUGUAAACAUGCGGCCACAUAGAAAUACUUUGAUUUGAAUAUUGAUAACGACGUUCAAGCUGCAUUAGAGCUCUUAGACGGUUCUGAUGCAGAUUUCAGUGACGAUAUUUGGGUACCAUUCAACAUUUUCCCAGAAUCUCCAGCAAGUGAUGAAGAUGAUAAUGAGAAUGCAACUGCGUCUGCGACUGCAUCAGCAAUUUCUCAGGACGAUUCAAGUGUAGCAGCUCCGCAAACAUCACGGCCAAUCAUUAUUUCUAAUAUUUUGUUAAAUGCAGCACAGCCAUCAUCUAUCAGAAAUGUUUCACUAAAUACGACUCAGUCAUGCACGUCCACAAGUAAUACAGUGAAAAGACGCCAACUAUGGAAAAGUUCUCCAUUUGAUUGCAACGAUCUACCCAUUGCAUCUGGUUGUCAAAACGUAGUGAAAACACCAUUUUAGUACUUCAAGAAUUACUUCCCAGAAUCGCAUUACGAAAUGCUAUAAAAUUUACAAAAAUGUACGUUAUGAGGACACGUGGGCAGGAAGUCCGAUACAACCUGUGAUCGAUUUAGUAAGAAACCGUUGCAAUAAUUUAGCAACUGAAAUAUUACAGUAUUCAAUGAUUAUUCCAUAUACUGGAAGAUGCCCUGCGCGUCAAACAAUUCGAUCAAAACCAAGACCUACUGGUCUACAAAAUUUCAUAUGUGCAACUGCAAAAUUAGGAAAAUGGUGAUUUAGAGGAGCCGUCAUCUGAUUCAACCCAUUUUUAAUAACAGGCAUACUGUUAUCAACAAAGGAUUUGACCUCUACAAAUUUUCUGCUGAAAAUAAUUUACCACUUGUUGCUGAUUCACAACUGUACUGCACAUGAGCCAAUUGACAAAUUACAGACAGAUGAUGGAAGCAAUGCGGCAAUACUCUUACCACCUUACGUGACAGCUGUUUGGCAGCCCAUGGAUGAAAAUCCCAUAAAACUCUGUAAGCAAGGAUACCGAACUAAACUCUUACGGAAUGUUGUAGCACAAGAAAACGUUUCGGUUGAGAAUAUUUUGAAAGGACAUUCAAUUCGCAAUGCCAUAUUGCUGAUUAAAUUGGCAUAGGAUGAAUUGCCAAGAGCCGUGCUUAUAAAAUCUUGGAAAAAUAUAAUACAGUGAGUGGGACGAUGACCAGUACGACAGCGAAGACGAAAUUCCAUCGAUCACAUUGAUUAGAUCCAAUAGUUCUCCCGAUGAUACACUUCAUUAGGUACAACCGUUAUUGUCCAAGUUGGGUAGUGUUGACGACGAUAAAAAUACGGAAGAUGAUGAAAAUUUCGAAUUGCCCGGCAAUGAAGUUUAAGAACCAGUUAUAGGAGAAGAUAAGCAACAACAGAAAGUAAGUUUUUCGGAAGCAGUUGAAUGCAUCAAUGCCUUGUUAAAGUGGUAUGAAAACAAUAACGAUCCAAAUCAGGAGCUACAGUAUUACAUAAUAAAAUAAACAAACUAGUCUCGACCGCUUCUUGAAACCAUCCCUUAUAAAUUAAUAUGUACAUAUGUAUGAAUAAUGUUUAAAAGUACAAACUAAAACUAAGUUUCUGUUUUGUUACGAGUAAUAGUGA